AGUCCCUGGGCUGGGCAUCCCAGACGUUUUCUAAUCCAGAUUUAAUUCUUAUCCAUUUAUUUAUAUUUUCGUGAUAUGUGCUAUUUACAAAAUAUGAUACUGUUAUAGGUUUAUUAAAUUUUUAAUUGGUUAGAGUUUACUGUUUAGGUGCGCAACGAGAAGAUUGCCCUAAUGCCCUACUCCAGCAAUGUCUUUGAUAUGAGGCUCAGAGGUGGCAGCACUUGCACGAGCAGACUGAUGUUUACAAAACAAGUCACACCAACUCGGCAUCGUCUGCAGCAAAAAAAAAAAAACUACUAAACUCUUUUGGCCAAUUGUCAUCCACUAAAGGUUUUCACUAGGUUUUUAUUCCUUUGCUGUUCUGCCUUAUGGAUCCUAAUCAGCUUCAAUCUUUUUGGCUUCCAAUAAUAUUUGAAGCUGGAGCACAAAUGGAAGAAAUUGACAAACAACAGCAAUGGCAGAUUGUAGCUGCCAUGUUUGGAUGCAGUUCUCAUCUUGAAUUGAACCUAAAAUGAUUGCAUCACCUCCCUGGUCCAAUCCAUCUCUGCUCCCGCUGCAUUGACCGAUGUCUAAAACCGAAUAUGUGGAGCGCUGCAUGAAGCAAACUUAAUUUAUUCACAACACUAUAAUGAUGCUUUUUUUGCUGCUGAAUGAUGAUUUUUUAAUUAUUAAAAUUUCUUUAACAUGACUGCAGACUGCACAAAAACUGAGUGAUCAUCACUUAUUCUUUUAUUCCCUUAUUCAUUUACAUUGCGUGUCAAACAUUUUUAUACAGUGUCUUGGAAAUUUGCAACUUGCAUCAGUCCUACGUUAAAAUUUACCUACUAGGAUUGUGACCCGGCUAUAUGUGCGUAGACCUGAUUCAGCUGACGGCUUUGGGGAUUUUUGUGAUACCAAAAUUUAUGUAGCUAGCAAAUUUCGAAAAAAAUAAAUAAAUUGUGUUGGCAUCUCCGUUGAAUAUCUGACCACAUUCAAUGAUGAGCUAAAGCUUCAUCGGGCACGGCAUGGGAGGAAAUAAGGUUCUUUGAACGAGUUGCAGUCUUUUUCUUAACCUGGAAUUGAUCCCCUGGUUAAAGUAGUUUGUAACAUCAUACGGAUGGCAGCUCUUAAAUGUACCAGAAGGAAAAGUGCCCACUCUCUUCUACUGAGGAGUUUUUCGGGGUGUACACGAAUUACUUGUUAGAUCCAAGUUGGUAUUUCGCCUGAAGGAGGGGUAAGCUUACUAUGCAGUUGUCUGUGCUUUCUGGCGACGCAUCAGAGAUGUUCGACAGUUCGAGUAUUCCGCUUCAUUUGUCGGUUAAGUAAUAUUUGCGUAUUUAACAUUUGUACGUUAUCCAAUAGUGUUUUACGUACAUCAUCAGGGUACUAUCA
Daphnia pulicaria is the source of this 1371-nucleotide long non-coding RNA. RefSeq lists it as uncharacterized. Lineage: Eukaryota; Metazoa; Arthropoda; Branchiopoda; Diplostraca; Daphniidae. The transcript is spliced from 4 exons. The record is from RefSeq and is a predicted model, not a curated record.